Molecule: transfer RNA, 85 nt
Filed under: Felis catus (domestic cat)
Lineage: Eukaryota; Metazoa; Chordata; Mammalia; Carnivora; Felidae
Also listed under: 1 other name
Rfam family: tRNA
About the family: Transfer RNA (tRNA) molecules are approximately 80 nucleotides in length.
Source: Rfam by way of RNAcentral
GCCUGGGUGGCUCAGUCGGUUGAGCGGCUGACUUCGGCUCAGGUCAUGAUCUCGCGGUUCGUGAGUUCAAGCCCCACGUCGGGCU